RNAcentral lists this ribosomal RNA (129 nucleotides) under Glossina morsitans morsitans. RNAcentral's name for it is "eukaryotic small subunit ribosomal RNA". The record is from RNAcentral. Lineage: Eukaryota; Metazoa; Arthropoda; Insecta; Diptera; Glossinidae.
CCGUCGCUACUGCCGGCUAAACUGUUUAGUAAGAUCUCCGGACAUGAUCACUGCAACGCAUUUUAUGUUGAUGCGGAUGUUUUGCAAAAAUUGAUCGAACUUGAUUAUUUAGAGGAAGUAAAAGUCGGA